Molecule: ribosomal RNA, 586 nt
Filed under: uncultured bacterium
Lineage: Bacteria
Description: partial 16S ribosomal RNA
Rfam family: Bacterial small subunit ribosomal RNA
Source: RNAcentral
UGGGGAAUUUUGGACAAUGGGCGAAAGCCUGAUCCAGCAAUGCCGCGUGUGUGAAGAAGGCCUUCGGGUUGUAAAGCACUUUUGUCCGGAAAGAAAUCCUUGGCUCUAAUACAGUCGGGGGAUGACGGUACCGGAAGAAUAAGCACCGGCUAACUACGUGCCAGCAGCCGCGGUAAUACGUAGGGUGCAAGCGUUAAUCGGAAUUACUGGGCGUAAAGCGUGCGCAGGCGGUUUGCUAAGACCGAUGUGAAAUCCCCGGGCUCAACCUGGGAACUGCAUUGGUGACUGGCAGGCUAGAGUAUGGCAGAGGGGGGUAGAAUUCCACGUGUAGCAGUGAAAUGCGUAGAGAUGUGGAGGAAUACCGAUGGCGAAGGCAGCCCCCUGGGGCCAAUACUGACGCUCAUGCACGAAAGCGUGGGGAGCAAACAGGAUUAGAUACCCUGGUAGUCCACGCCCUAAACGAUGUCAACUAGUUGUUGGGGAUUCAUUUCCUUAGUAACGUAGCUAACGCGUGAAGUUGACCGCCUGGGGAGUACGGUCGCAAGAUUAAAACUCAAAGGAAUUGACGGGGUCAUAGCUGUUUCCU